Molecule: ribosomal RNA, 811 nt
Filed under: Amesomyces nigricolor
Lineage: Eukaryota; Fungi; Ascomycota; Sordariomycetes; Sordariales; Chaetomiaceae
Description: eukaryotic LSU rRNA
Rfam family: Eukaryotic large subunit ribosomal RNA
Source: RNAcentral
UUGCCCUUAGUAACGGCGAAGUGAAGCGGCAACAGCUCAAAUUUGAAAUCUGGCUUCGGCCCGAGUUGUAAUUUGCAGAGGAAGCUUUAGGCGCGGCACCUUCUGAGUCCCCUGGAACGGGGCGCCAUAGAGGGUGAGAGCCCCGUAUAGUUGGAUGCCUAGCCUGUGUAAAGCUCCUUCGACGAGUCGAGUAGUUUGGGAAUGCUGCUCAAAAUGGGAGGUAAAUUUCUUCUAAAGCUAAAUACCGGCCAGAGACCGAUAGCGCACAAGUAGAGUGAUCGAAAGAUGAAAAGCACUUUGAAAAGAGGGUUAAAUAGCACGUGAAAUUGUUGAAAGGGAAGCGCUUGUGACCAGACUUGCGCCGGGCUGAUCAUCCGGUGUUCUCACCGGUGCACUCUGCCCGGCUCAGGCCAGCAUCGGUUCUCGCGGGGGGAUAAAGGUUCCGGGAAUGUAGCUCCUCCGGGAGUGUUAUAGCCCGGGGCGUAAUGCCCUCGCGGGGACCGAGGUUCGCGCUCUGCAAGGAUGCUGGCGUAAUGGUCAUCAGCGACCCGUCUUGAAACACGGACCAAGGAGUCAAGGUUUUGCGCGAGUGUUUGGGUGUAAAACCCGCACGCGUAAUGAAAGUGAACGUAGGUGAGAGCUUCGGCGCAUCAUCGACCGAUCCUGAUGUUUUCGGAUGGAUUUGAGUAAGAGCGUUAAGCCUUGGACCCGAAAGAUGGUGAACUAUGCUUGGAUAGGGUGAAGCCAGAGGAAACUCUGGUGGAGGCUCGCAGCGGUUCUGACGUGCAAAUCGAUCGUCAAAUCUGAGCAU